UUUCUCGAGGCGGCAGAGCCCGUCCAGCCCGGGGGCGGCGGGCUUCCGGGACCGCAAUUCCCGGCAGGGAGCACGCCCUCCUGCGCCGGCGGCCGGGCCGGGAGGGUACCGGGGGCUUCGGCGCCGUCGGGGCAGAGCCCGCGGGGUUCGGGGAGUGGGGGGGGGGGGGGGAGGGGGCUGUGCACCCCGUGCCUCGCUCGCUUUCCCUGACUCCCCUUCUCUCGCCGUGCAGCUGCGGCGCCGAGGGGUCGGUGCUGGGUGCACAGUCUCCAUCACUCACCGUCGAGGCUCGGGGGAAUGAUGAAAACAUACCAGUUGUGCAGGAGGAACGACUUUGCCCGGCCCUGAGCCACAGUAGAUGAAGUUUCUCUUCGGUCCUCAUAAAGGAGACGCUGUGAUGUAGUGAACAGCAUCCCCAGCAGUUUGCCUGCCACGAAGACAAUGGUGGAGAGUAAAUUCAGGAAAUUCAUCUUGGUUGACAACAAAAGUCCACUACAUGUAUUUGGAAUAAAUGGAUGAGCUUCUCCUUGGCGUCCAGCCUGAGGUUAAACCUUUCGCUGUGAAGGUGUUCCUUGCCAUGUGGAUGUGCUACAGUGGUGAACACGUAUGUGUGUGCAAAUUUUCUAUCCACCGAUGGUGCACAUUUCUUACAGUACUAAAAACUGGUCCUUCAGAAGACCUUUACAAAUGUGUAUUUCUGUAAGUACUAUUUUAUAGCAGGGAAACUUUGGGUUGCUUUAUGGCAGAGAAAUGAAUCAGCCUGUAAAUUA
Molecule: long non-coding RNA, 770 nt
Organism: Leopardus geoffroyi (Geoffroy's cat)
Lineage: Eukaryota; Metazoa; Chordata; Mammalia; Carnivora; Felidae
Exons: 3
Source: RefSeq, a predicted model, not a curated record